UACGUAGGGGGCAAGCGUUGUCCGGAAUCAUUGGGCGUAAAGAGCGUGUAGGCGGCCAGAUAAGUCCGCUGUGAAAUCUCGAGGCUCAACUUCGAGCUGUCGGUGGAAACUGUCUGGCUAGAGUCCGGAAGAGGAGAAUGGAAUUCCUGGUGUAGCGGUGAAAUGCGCAGAUAUCAGGAAGAACACCCGUGGCGAAAGCGGCUCUCUGGAACGGUACUGACGCUGAGACGCGAAAGCGUGGGGAGCGAACAGG
This 253-nucleotide ribosomal RNA is filed under the name uncultured bacterium. Its description in RNAcentral is "partial 16S ribosomal RNA". It matches the Rfam family "Bacterial small subunit ribosomal RNA", at positions 524 to 776 of the family's 1533-position model. The record is from RNAcentral.